RNAcentral lists this ribosomal RNA (253 nucleotides) under uncultured bacterium. RNAcentral describes it as "partial 16S ribosomal RNA". It matches the Rfam family "Bacterial small subunit ribosomal RNA", at positions 524 to 776 of the family's 1533-position model. The record is from RNAcentral.
GACGAGGGAUCCUAGCGUUGUUCGGAAUUAUUGGGCGUAAAGCGGGUGUAGGUGGACUUCUAAGUCAGGUGUGAAAUCCCAGGGCUCAACCCUGGAAGUGCACUUGAUACUGGAAGUCUUGAGUGUGGUAGAGGCUAUUAGAAUUCUUGGUGUAGUGGUGAAAUACGUAGAUAUCAAGAGGAAUACCGGAGGCGAAGGCGGAUAGCUGGGCCAACACUGACACUGAGACCCGAAAGCGUGGGGAUCAAACAGG